Molecule: small RNA, 313 nt
Filed under: Arabidopsis thaliana (thale cress)
Lineage: Eukaryota; Viridiplantae; Streptophyta; Magnoliopsida; Brassicales; Brassicaceae
Description: ATSL196900
Source: RNAcentral
UACAUAUAUGAUAGAUCUUGUCGGUCUUAACUUUUUUGCGGUUGGGGAGAUCGUCCAUCGCCGUCCACUGCCGCCGUCGUCACCGUCCAUUGCCGCCGUCGUCAUCGUCCGUCGCUGCCUCAUCACCAUCAACCCUAAUUGUGAAUGGGCUGGGGCGCUGGGCUUUGUAAAUUUGCUAAUUGGGUUUGUAAAAUUAUUAUUAUUUUUGGUGAUAUAAAAAGUUUGGGCUUAAAACAAAGCCCAUUAUCCUUUUUUCUAUUGUAAUUCGGUUCAAAUAAACCGAAAUAGUAAAAUAAUUGAUUUAAUUCGAAAU